CGAAUACGGAAAACCGGAAAUCUUUUCACCGUGGUCGUUUUUGUAUAAUAUGACGCGAAAGGACGCUCGUCUGCUGAUGUUUGAAAUGGUCAGACAGUUGAUACAAAGAACUUUGGUUUUUCAAACAGAUGGUUCAAAAAGCUAUUGUAAACAGAUAUACUGAAAUGGGUUACACUACCGAUUAACUGGAAGAAACCGGGGAACGAAACAUACAUUUUAAAAAGUCAUCGCAACAAAAGUGUAUCCGGAUAACUUUUUUGUACUUGUCCAAUGAAAGGUAAAUAUAAUCAUGCACAUUUUUAGGACGAUGUUAGACUAGUUUUAUACUUUCAUGAAAAAAUAUAUAGUCACUUUAUCCACGUCAUGCAUGUUAACCCCGAAAAUCAGUCAAAAAUUGACAAAAACGGAAGCAAGUCAGUUCGCCCCACUGGUAAAACGCCAAACGCCCCACUUUUUUUUAACAACACGGCCUGUUUUUUUAAAUUGCUCCACUCUUUUUAAGGGAGCUCAGUCUCAUUCAUCUACCAUUUGAAUUGUAUGGGAGAAAAUAGGGUGGUUGGGGGUUGGAUGAAAGUGAAAUAUCGAGGACGAGUUUUGAGUAAAAAUCUAAAAGCCAGGGCCCCCCCCCCCCCCAAAAAAAAAAAAGAGUAACGACAAUGCAGGAUAACAUUUUCAUCAUAGCCCCCCCCCUAAACCCUUGAAAAUCCAAGUGGGAACUACCUUACCAACUCACCCCACUUUAUAUGCAACUUUGGAUCAAAUCCAGUUAAAUAUCCAGGUUUGAAAUUAGCAGGGGCCCAUUUGCCCCUAAAAUUUGGAGUGGGCUUCUAAAACUUCUGCUUUUCUUUCAUAGAACUAUAUAAAUUGUGUAAAAAAUAUAAGAUGUGGGCUACAAUGCCAUAAUUUGAACUUCAGCUUUUAUCCGACAGCUAUAUGUCGGAUAAAAGCUCUACAGAGCUUAAUUAUGUUGUAUUGUUAUAUGUAUAACUGACUUUAAAUAAAUCUUUUAUGCUUUUAUGCUCAUACUUCAAUCCCUAAUUAUACUCCUGCCAACAGUCAUGACAGUGGCAACUCACCUUACUUGGGAAAAAUCUAAAUGAAUACAACAUCAAUAUACAGUGCUCCAGCUAGAAAUCAAAAGGGGCAGGGUGCCAGUGGAGGGCAAGGCACUUUUUUAUGAUAGGAAAAGGCACUGCUCAUUUCUUUUCUUUACGUUUCUGUGUGUAUCACGAGUUCAUAUUCUUUUUUUUACUGUAUACAUGGUAUAUAUGUUGUCAAUAAAGAUGCAUAAGGUCCGAGACCGCAAUUGUCGUCCCUUGAUUUUUGUUAUUCACGAAUAUAGUCCCUAGUGUUGACAGUGGGUUACUUGCCAUUAAUUUUUAUACCCCUUCCAAAUUUAUUUCUCCAUGUUUAAUGCCUCAAAUUGCAAGAAAGGGGGUGGGUAAAUUACAGUGUAAAAAAAUUUGGGUCCCUAAUUUUUUUAAAGGAAAGUAGUGAUUUGGUCCAGGUGAAAAAGGUUGAAAAUUAGCACUUCAAGUUCGGAAGCUGUCAAAAGAUUUCAAGACGCUCUAAACAUAAAAUUGUCCAUAUUUUGAGUUAGAGCCGAUGAAGUUUUCUAUAAUUUUGAUAUAAUUUGUCCCAAAAGUAGUACAACACACUGGAAAAGUUUCUUUGAGAAAGCGCAGGUGGGAUUUUUUUUAUUUUCAUUUAUGUUCUAAAAGAAAUGCACUACGAAAUGAUUGUGGUCUCGGACCUAAGAUUUAUUGGAGAAUACAUUUAUUUAACUACUCUUAUAUGCUUAAUUUUUUUAGUGAUUUGCCAGAUAAUUGCAAAGAAACCUGUUAAUUGUAUCAUAAUAUAUCUUAUAGGUUUUUUUAGCCAACUCAAAAUCAUGCUUUUAGGACCCCCUUGUUGUACUGAGGAAGUGGACCGCUCAAGAAGAUGAAAGGUAAUGUAAAUAUAAAAAUAAGAAAAUGUAGUAUGAUUGCCAAUAAGAAAAGAGAGGAAUUUGUAAAAGUGAAAAUUCACUUGUUUUCCAAUCCUAAUACUAAUAAAAGUGUCUUAUAUUGUAAUGUUUAAAUUACCUAAUUAUUUUAAAAAAAAAAAAUUGUUUACACUAAUGAGAAAAGACAACUCUCCAUCAGAGAUCAAAUGACAUCAAAGUUAACAACUAUAGGUCACCAUACAUCCUUUAACCAUGAGCAAAGCCCAUACAUUAUACCAUAUAUACUGUAAAUUCUGAAAUAUUGUGUGCAUUUAUUAUUGCCACCAUUGCCAUUUUCAGUGGCAGAUCCAGAAAUUUUCAUAAGUGAGGGCCCACUGACUGCCUAAGAGGGGGCCCGCUCUGGUCAUGAUUCAGUGAUUCCCUAUAUAAUCAACCAAAUUUUUCCCAGAAAAGGGGGCCCUGGCCCCCACCUAAAUCUGCCUCUGAUUUUAUCAUUUAAGACUUAAAUGCAAGUUUAAUUUUUAGGAUUUUGAGAAAAAUCCUGUUAAAUUCAUAAAAAAUAUUUCAAAAUGCGAGUUUAAAUUAUUGCGUUUACAACUAAACUCUGUCCCAUUUUUAGCAAUAAUCAUGCUAAUAAAAACCUCACAAUAAUUUCUGAAUUUACAGUAGUCCUGGUAUAUAAAAAGACCCUAAAUGAAAACGAAAAAUUUGUAAAAAACAAUUCAAACUGAAUUACAGGCUUCUGACAUGGGACAGGCACAUACUAAUUGAAGGAUGUGAUGGGGGCUAGACUAUAUAGCUAGCAGUUUGUGGUGCCAAACCCACCUAACCUGGUACAUGUAUAUUGAUGUGAAAAGGGCUUAACUCACCAGAUCUAUACAGUAUACAAAAAAGAAAUGCAUCUAACAAAAACACACACAAGACGUGUUUUUUGACAGUAAAUUUAUUCACACAUUGGCAAGAUACAUGUACAUUGAAAAGUUGUUCUUUUGUUAAAUGCCUGAAGUACGGAUUAUAACACAAAUGACAACAGGCCCGAGAAUACAGUUCUUCCGUAGUGCAUUAAAUUCAAAUUUAAAAAAGUCGCACCUGCUCUUUCUCAAAAAGAUUUUUACAGUGUAGUGUACUACCAGUGAGACAAAUAAUAUCAAAAUUGUAGAAACUUCUACCAGCUCUAAUGUUCACGAGUUUAGUCUUUCCUAUAUCAAAAUGGUGUAUUUUAACAUUUUUGCCUAUUAACUUAAAACAGCAAAACAAGAUCUAAUAAACAUCUGACAGUAAUUAAUGCCUAGAAUGAUUUUUUAACUGUAUACAGCAGAAUAGAUAAAUUAAAACCAGAAAGUUCAUACUGUACAUAUAUUUAUUAGCUAAGCUGUUGAUCUUCUUUCUGUUGUUUGCUUACAUGUUCUUUGCAUUCACUCAAAAGUAAAAGUACAUAUAGUUCUGUAAAGGUAUAAAUUAGUGAGCAUCAGUUCAAUAUGUUCAUACUACAUCUAGUUUUUGUCUGGACUUCAUGGACUUCUUGAUUAAAUAAUUUAGAUUUUAUACAAUUUUAGCUUGUUACCAAAAGAAUGGAAAGUACAGUAUUAAAACCACUGGUGAACAUGUACUGUACAUGUAGGUGUGAAUGUCCUGCAAAAAGAACUGAUAUCAAAGUAUGUUCAUCUGCAGAAUUGCAGUAAAUAUAUAAAUAAUUUGAUGCACUCUGUUCUCAAGUAUAAUUGUACAUGUACACUUGCUUAUUUUUCUCUCUUUCCAAUGUCAAGUAUGCUUCAAGGCAUCCUUACCCUGAUCCCCUCCUGCUCCAUACACACACACUCAGAAGUUCAAAUAAUCAGCAUUUAAUAUUACAAACCUACCUAGUCAGACUGGCCUAUACAAUGUAUAUUAUGAAUUGACAAGUUGUUCUUGUUUUGAAUACAUAAAAUAUUUGCCACUGGACAUAGUUUCCGUACAAUAACUUUAGUUUAAGUAAAUGGAUAUCUAUCUCUAUGAAAUUUAAAUACAAGGUUUGAACCCACACAAGGAAGAUUGGGAUUGAUUUUGGGGUUAUGGUCCCAACAGUUUAGGAACAAGGAGCCCAAAAGGGGUCAAAAUAAGUAUUUUCCUAGGUUCCAGACAAUUACUUGUGUAUAAGUGUAUGGAUCUUUCUGAAAUUGUACCACAAGGACUUGAAGGUUCCAUACCAAAAAAAAAAGGUUGGGAUUGAUUUUGGGGGUUAUCAAUGGUUAUGGCACAAACUGUUUAUGAAUUAGGGGCCAAAAACAAUACUUCUCUAAUACUUUGUAUAAGUUGCUUAUUUCUAGACCAAUUUCAAUGGGGUUUUAUUCUUGAAUUCUUGGGGUUCUUUAAUAUGCUGAAUCAAACCCUGUAUUAAGUUUUUUUUAAUUUGGUCCCCGUUUUUAUACGACCGCAAAAUGUUUGCGUUCUUAUAUUGGUAUCACGUUGUCGGCUAUAUAUAAAAUGUACAAUAUACAAUGCAAUAUUCACUUAACUACCAACUGAUAAAUUAAAGCAAUCUUCACCAUUCAGUGAUUACAAGCACUCUGAUUACCAUUCUAGGGUUAUGCCCCUUUACAAGUGGAAAAAUUGAAGAAUUUUUUUAGUUUCUGUUCUCUUAACUUAAGUUUGUCUCAACUAAAUUUAAUGAAAUGUGUAUAUAAUGCUUAUUACCUCUAAACUCAGUUUAAGUUCAAUUUUUGGCAUCUUCACUUUUACAGUUCUUGAGUUAUGUCCCUUUAUAACGUUAUAUGCUAGCAGGGGCAUCAUCUGUGUCCUUUUGGACACAUUCCCCAUUUAUUUUUUUAGAAGUUACUAUUAAUUCUAACCAUGACUGUAUGACAUUUUAUAUUUUAAUAUUUUAUGAUGUAUUUAAAUGAGUAGUUAUUGUUGCAAACUCCAUUAGAAUUUUGAAUUGAGAUCAUUUUUGGAAUAAGAGAAAGGGGGACGUGGAAAAAAAAAUUGGGGAAAAAUUUGGGUGGGGGUCAAUUUUUUUUUUCUCAUUUUAGAUUUCAGAAUUUAAAAAGAAAAUUUCUUCAAAUAUUUUUUUUUUGAGAGGAUUAAUAUUCAACAGCAUAGUAAAUUGCUCAAAAGCAAAAAAAAAUUAAGUUCAUUAGACCACAUUUAUUCUGUGUCAGAAACCUAUGAUGUGUCAACUAUUUAAUCACAAUCCAAAUUCAGAGCUGUAUUCAGCUUGAAUGUUGUGUCCAUACUUGCCUCAACCUUCAGGGUUCGACCUCUGCAGUCGUAUAAAGCUGCACCCUGCGGAGUAUCUGGUUAAAUUGGUCACAUUUAGGUCCAAAUGCCAUACAUAUUAUAUACACAGGUAAUGUGUAGUACACAUGCAUGAAUAGAGUUAGUUUUUCAUUAUUUAAAAAAAAAGGAAAAUAUGUAGUAUCAUUGCCAAUGAGACAACUAUUCAUCAGGUCAAAAUGACUGAAUGUUAGCAACUAAAGAUCACUUUACAUGUAUGUACAACUUUCAACAAUGAGCAAAACCAGUACAGCAUCAAGCAAGCUAUGUCCUGGAAUGACAGAUGUAAAACAAUUCCAAAGAGAAAAUUAAGGGCCUGAUUUACAUAAAAGCGAAAAAAACAACCAAGAUAAAUACAUGUUGCAAAAACAACAACUAUUAUUUCUCCACUCCAGUUGUUCACACGAUAUUUAUGUAUAUAUAUAUAUGUAAGUUUGGUAAAUCAUUACUUAUCAAAUUUAUGUUAUCAUUUUUGCUUGAUUGGUAAGCCAAUAUUUUAUGGUUAUUUUUUUUUUUAAUUACAGCAACUGUAUUCCAAGAGUCUGAUGGCUGAUAAUGUAUUACAGGAUUUUAUCAUUCAAGCAACAUCUUAGAAGGAUAAGUGCAAAUGUAUGAAGGAAGCCGUGGGUACAAAUAGCAAUUACAGCAGAUACAUGCAGGAGAGAACUCUUAAACAAAGACAUGAUAUGGGAGUGAUGUAUUCAAGAAAUCUCAAACACAUGGAAUUAAAUAUUGUGUAUAUUUUUUCAAACACAAGUACUUUCAGAAUAUAAUACAAUCAUGACAAUUCAAAUUCA
This 5994-nucleotide long non-coding RNA is filed under the name Mytilus galloprovincialis (Mediterranean mussel). The record is from RNAcentral. Lineage: Eukaryota; Metazoa; Mollusca; Bivalvia; Mytilida; Mytilidae.